GGGAAACGACCCAUCUUGGUGCAGGCGAGCCAAGAAUGCGUUUUAACAACGUAUCCUUUCCACAUACUAUUUGCAUUGCACAGCGAUAGUAUGGAUGGGACAUUGGUAUUUACAGUACUAAUGCAAAUACUGUAUUUUUCUAUAUAGUGCGCAAUAUGUAGGAAUUUGCAGUUAGAUUAGACAGUAUGGGAAGUACACAUGCUGUUUAAUCCCACAAUAAAAACCCUGAGUACUUACAGGUACACUGAGGUGCAAAUCAGUGUUUUAGCCGCUUCUUUGGAGCUGUUGGG
This 290-nucleotide non-coding RNA is filed under the name unclassified sequences. The record is from Rfam.